RNAcentral lists this ribosomal RNA (332 nucleotides) under uncultured bacterium. RNAcentral describes it as "bacterial SSU rRNA". It matches the Rfam family "Bacterial small subunit ribosomal RNA", at positions 568 to 898 of the family's 1533-position model. The record is from RNAcentral.
CGCGUAGGCGGUGUGGUAAGUCUGUUGUGAAACCUCCAGGCUCAACUUGGAGCUUGCAUCAGAAACUGCCGUGCUAGAGUGUGGGAGAGGAGAGUGGAAUUCCUGGUGUAGCGGUGAAAUGCGUAGAUAUCAGGAGGAACACCGGUGGCGAAAGCGGCUCUCUGGACCACAACUGACGCUGAGGCGCGAAAGCUAGGGGAGCAAACAGGAUUAGAUACCCUGGUAGUCCUAGCCUUAAACGAUGAACACUUGGUAUAGCGGGUAUCGAAUCCCGCUGUGCCGGAGCUAACGCAUUAAGUGUUCCGCCUGGGGAGUACGGUCGCAAGGCUGAA